RNAcentral lists this ribosomal RNA (494 nucleotides) under uncultured bacterium. Its description in RNAcentral is "partial 16S ribosomal RNA". It matches the Rfam family "Bacterial small subunit ribosomal RNA", at positions 30 to 507 of the family's 1533-position model. The record is from RNAcentral.
AGCGAACGCUGGCGGCGUGCUUAACACAUGCAAGUCGAACGGCAACGCACCAAGAUUUUGGGUUGAUGGGGGGGGGUGGCCGGCGGGGGGAGGACUCGUGCGUAACCUACCCCUUCGUGCGGGAUAACGGCGUGAAAGUGUGGCUAAUACGGGAUAUUCUCUGUCGGUGAAAUGAUGGGUCUGUGGAAGCUUUUGUGUCUGAGGGAGAUGGGCUCGCGGCCUAUCGGCUUGUGGGUGGGGUGAUGGCCUACCAAGGCGGUGAGGAGUAGCUGGCAUGGGAGGGUGGGCGGCCAUACUGGGACGGAGCGACGGAGCAGACUCCGACGGGAGGCAGCAGGGGGGAAUAUUGCACAAUGGGAGGAAGCCUGAUGCAGCGACGCCGCGGGAGGGAUGGAGGCCGGCGGGUUGUGAACCUCUUUCGCGAGAGAAGCAGGCCUGCCUAGUGUGUGGGUGGGCUGACGGUAGCUGGAGAAGAAGCGCCGGCUAACUACGUG